Lactuca sativa (garden lettuce) is the source of this 72-nucleotide small nucleolar RNA. RefSeq annotates it as small nucleolar RNA Z105. NCBI's taxonomy places the organism in Eukaryota, Viridiplantae, Streptophyta, Magnoliopsida, Asterales, Asteraceae. The record is from RefSeq and is a predicted model, not a curated record.
CGAGCAUGGUGAUGAUUGUUUAAUUCUACCGAUAAUUCAUGAAUGGAUUUACAAACCUCCUACUCAUUCUGA